UGUGACGGAUGGCCGCUGGCGGCUUUCCCAGCCGCUAGAGGAAAGUCCAGACUCGGCUGCCGGCCAUCCCGGCAGAAAGUUGGUGCCUGCCGCAAGGCAGGGCGGCGCAAGCCGACGGAUGCGAAACCGACCCUCGCGGCCGGGAUUAGCUAUAAAAGGGCCAUAGAGACGAGCCGCUCCGGCGACGGAGCGGGUGGAACGUGGUAACCCCCACCACCGAGCAACCCCAAAUAGGCCCCCGUCAAGGGGGCGGGUAGGGGGCAGCCUCCCCAGGGAGGCCGUCCGGCGCCAUGCCGGGCGAGAUAGAUGGCCAUCAGAAACAGAAUCUGGCUUACGGUC
RNAcentral lists this RNase P RNA (339 nucleotides) under Firmicutes bacterium ZCTH02-B6. RNAcentral describes it as "RNase P RNA component class B". It matches the Rfam family "Bacterial RNase P class B". Rfam says of the family: Ribonuclease P (RNase P) is a ubiquitous endoribonuclease, found in archaea, bacteria and eukarya as well as chloroplasts and mitochondria. Its best characterised activity is the generation of mature 5'-ends of tRNAs by cleaving the 5'-leader elements of precursor-tRNAs. Cellular RNase Ps are ribonucleoproteins. Lineage: Bacteria; Bacillati; Bacillota. The record is from RNAcentral.